This 253-nucleotide ribosomal RNA is filed under the name uncultured bacterium. Its description in RNAcentral is "partial 16S ribosomal RNA". It matches the Rfam family "Bacterial small subunit ribosomal RNA", at positions 524 to 776 of the family's 1533-position model. The record is from RNAcentral.
UACGUAGGGUGCAAGCGUUAAUCGGAAUUACUGGGCGUAAAGCGUGCGCAGGCGGUUGUGUAAGACAGAUGUGAAAUCCCCGGGCUUAACCUGGGAACUGCAUUUGUGACUGCACAGCUGGAGUGCGGCAGAGGGGGAUGGAAUUCCGCGUGUAGCAGUGAAAUGCGUAGAUAUGCGGAGGAACACCGAUGGCGAAGGCAAUCCCCUGGACCUGUACUGACGCUCAUGCACGAAAGCGUGGGGAGCAAACAGG